This 1279-nucleotide ribosomal RNA is filed under the name uncultured organism. RNAcentral's name for it is "bacterial SSU rRNA". It matches the Rfam family "Bacterial small subunit ribosomal RNA", at positions 59 to 1378 of the family's 1533-position model. The record is from RNAcentral.
AAGUCGAGCGAUGAGGCUCCUCGGGGGUACAUCAGCGGCAGACGGGUGAGUAACACGUAGGUGACCUACCCUCGAGACGGGGAUAACGGCUGGAAACAGUCGCUAAUACCCGAUAGACUUACCAGGUCAAAGCGGUAAGAAAAGCUACGGUGCUUGGGGAGGGGCCUGCGGCCCAUCAGCUAGUUGGUAGGGUAACGGCCUACCAAGGCGAAGACGGGUAGGGGGUGUGAGAGCACGAGCCCCCACAAUGGGACUGCGACACGGCCCAUACUCCUACGGGAGGCAGCAGCAGGGAAUAUUGCACAAUGGACGGAAGUCUGAUGCAGCGACGCCGCGUGAGUGAAGACGGCCUUCGGGUUGUAAAGCUCUUUUACGGGGGACGAGGAAGGACGGUACCCUGGGAAGAAGUGUCGGCUAACUACGUGCCAGCAGCCGCGGAAGACGUAGGACACAAGCGUUAUCCGGAGUUACUGGGCGUAAAGCGCCUGCAGGCGGCCCGGUAAGUUGGACGUGAAAGCCCCGUGCUUAACGCGGGGAGGUCGGACAAUACUGCCAAGCUAGAGUGCGUCAGAGGGGAGUGGAAUUUCCGGAGUAGCGGUAAAAUGCGCAGAUAUCGGAAGGAACACCAGUGGCGAAAGCGACUCCCUGGGGCGCGACUGACGCUAAGAGGCGAAAGCUAGGGGAGCGAACAGGAUUAGAGACCCUGGUAGUCCUAGCCCUAAACGAUGGAUGCUAGGUGUGGGACGUAAAGUUCCGUGCCGGAGCCAACGCGAUAAGCAUCCCGCCUGGGGACUACGGUCGCAAGGCUAAAACUCAAACGAAUUGACGGGGACCCGCACAAGCAGCGGAGCGUGUGGUUCAAUUCGAUGCUACACGAAGAACCUUACCUGGGUUUGACAUGUACGUGGUAGAGAAGCGGAAGCGGAUUGACCCUUCGGGGAGCGUACACAGGUGCUGCAUGGCUGUCGUCAGCUCGUGCCGUGAGGUGUCGGGUUAAGUCCCGUAACGAGCGCAACCCUUAUCCUUAGUUGCACGUAUCUAGGGAGACUGCCGGCGGGAAGCCGGAGGAAGGUGGGGAUGACGUCAAGUCAGCAUGGCCCUUAUGUCCAGGGCUACACACACGCUACAAUGGCCGGUACAAAGGGCAGCAAAGUCGCGAGGCGGAGCGAAUCCCAACAAAGCCGGUCGUAGUUCGGAUUGCAGGCUGCAACUCGCCUGCAUGAAGCUGGAGUUGCUAGUAACCGCGCGUCAGCUAUAGUCCGGUGAAUACGUACCCGGG